Molecule: long non-coding RNA, 1324 nt
Filed under: Musa acuminata (dwarf banana)
Lineage: Eukaryota; Viridiplantae; Streptophyta; Magnoliopsida; Zingiberales; Musaceae
Source: RNAcentral
CCAACAAGUGCCACGUAUAUAUGAACAUAAAAAGGAUCGUAGUGUACAUUUGCAUUUUACGUAUACGUACGUAAUGCCAUAAACAGCUACAAUUAGCGUGAAACCGCCGUUGAAGGGUAUUUAGGUGAUUUUACUUUUGUAAGACCGAACGCGAACCCUAACCCUCGAUGCUUCUUCCUUCUCUAUAUAUAUUCUCCCACCAAUGUCGUCUCCUCCCAGUCAUGGAGCGCCGGGAAUCAUCGAUCCCUCUUUCUCUUCUUCCUCCGUUUCUCCGAUUUCUUUCUGAAAUAAGAGGCUAUGAUGACCAAAAUCUACCUAUUUUAUGAGAGGGCUAAUCUCCUCUCUGAUUAAGGUACAUUCCAAUGGAUCCUUCUGAGCCUCCGCCGCUUUCUUGAUCUGCUAUUUGUGCGCGCCGGUAAGCCUCGGCCCUUAUUCUUACUUCAUUUCUCCGUCCUGUUUCCGAUAUGAGAGGCUGUGAUGCCCAAAAUCUACCUAUUUUAUGAGAGGGCUAAUCUCCUCUCUGAUUAAGGUACAUUCCAAUGGAUCCUUCUGAGCCUUCUCUACUUUCUUAUUUUUCUCCGAUUUGAUCAAGAUAGAUCUGUGCUACUGGCCGUUGGCGUGAUGAUCCCUUUCUAGGAAUGCAACACAUGUCGAAUAAAUAAAUCAGACUACAAUUAUCUGAUCAACGGCGACAUCGAUUUUGUUUCCGAUCGCGUCUUUUGUUGCUUCGAAUCGCACUUGUUUUCUUGUUUCGUUUUCGGUUUCUUUUCUCUAAGACAACAAUGCAAGUCUGUGAAAUCGAGUAGUACCUGUGCACGAUAAGCCGAUGCUCCGGACUCCUAAGGGAAGAAGGAAGGUAGCAUGGUAGGGUGCACAGAGAGGAAAGAACGGGUCAUCAUGUCUGCUCUCGUUGACGCCUUCGGGCAUUGAUCCUGCGGGCCUGGAUUCGACCCACAACCAAUCCCAUUCUUGUUUCUUCUCUGUUCUCUUUCCUUCUGCUUCUCCUUAUAUUUUUUUUUGCCAUUCGAUGCAGUUUGCUUCGUAUCAUAUAUCAGACGGCGUAAUGGAAUUGUGAUACGUAGUGGUAAUUUUCUAUUUUUCUUGAUGCUUGGGCUUUAAAAGUAGUUUUUCUAUUGCUUAUAAAAAGAUUUAUUAUGAUGUUUUACUUAUUUCUGCUCUUAUAAAUUUGCCAUUCAUAUGCCUUUUGGGAAUAUAUAUAUAUAUAUAUAUAUAUAUAUAUAUAUAUAUAUAUAUAUAUAUAUAUAUUCUCAUUCAUUCAGUCUAUAUAUAUAUAUAUAUAUAUAUAUAUAUUCUCAUUCAUUCA